This is a long non-coding RNA of Carassius carassius (crucian carp), 1549 nucleotides long. RefSeq lists it as uncharacterized. The record is from RefSeq and is a predicted model, not a curated record. Lineage: Eukaryota; Metazoa; Chordata; Actinopteri; Cypriniformes; Cyprinidae. The transcript has 3 exons.
UGUAACCGAUUGGUGAGAGUUGCCGUGUGCAGACGAGAGAAGCUAAAAACUGAGAUGUGAUGUCAGACACUUUCUGCUUCCCGUAGUGAUGCAGAGCCAGAAGCUUUGAAGCAGCAAACAUGGACUGGUGUGAAAAAUUACGUGCGGAACAGGAUCACGACUCUUAAAAGAAAGGGUGGUUUGUAGGGAGACACAAACACUUCAACACUUUGCACAUUAUGCUCUUUUCGUAAGAAAUUGAGCUAAAUUAAAAGAAAUGAAGAUAAAGGUGUAGACAUUAAAAUUAAGAGACGCUCGCGCUGUUUGCAUACUUUACCACAGCUGAAGUAGAAAAAAUGCAUUAUUUUCCAAAUACACAGAUAUUUCAGAGACAUUUUCAUUCAAUACAUGCACUGCUUAAUACAGUGUCUGUUUGUACAAGAAUAAAGUUCAACAUAAGCCUAAAUACCAACGUAAAGAGGGAGGAGAGAAUGUAAAGGGGACGUAAAGAGGGAGGAGAGAAUGUAAAGGGGAGGUAAAGAGGGAGGGGAGGAGAGCAUUAGGCUUGUUGGACUUCAUGCAGCGCUGCAGAACGAUCAGCGGCUAACUUGAGCAGUUCUUGACGGUUAGAACUUGUGUCCGACUUCAGACAGCGACGCCCGUGACUGUGCCAUAAGGCAACAGAGUACAACUAGAGUGAUUGGAGAGCAGGAGGACUCAGCCAGAGCAGAUUCUCUAGAGCGACUCACAAGCUCUGAUGAUGACACAGCUAAUCCACGAUUGGCAGAGUACACCGCUUGACAACGAUCACGUGUGUUUCAUGUUUCUUCUCACACCUUCAGUUCCACUAAGGAUCACAUCUGUUCUUUAUAACAGUAAAAGCUCUUUUCAUGUAGUUGCGAUAAAUGUUUAUCAAAAUAAAACAAUGUAGACCCCACUUCACUGGUAUUUAGGCUUACUUUGAACUUUAUUCUUGUACAAACAGUAGUGCAUGUAUUGAAUGAAAAUGUCUCUGAAAUAUCUGUAUUUGGAAAAUAAUGCGUUUAUUCCACUUCAGCUGUGGUAAAGUAUGAAAACUUAGCCUGAGCGUCACUACAGGAAGCAGAAAGUGUCUGACAUCACAUCUCAGUUUUCAGCUUCUCUCGUCUGCACACGGCAACUCUCACCAAUCGGUUACAUCCAGCCACAGCCCAUGUCCAGCACAGCUAAUAUAAGGGAUGAAUAGAGGGAGUAAAAGUAAAGAGGAUGAAAAGAGGGAGGUGUAAGCGGGUAAAAAGAGUGAGGAGUAGAGUUAAAGAGGAUAAAGAGAGGGAGGAGUAAAGAGGGUAAAAAGAAGUUAAAGAGGGAGGAGAGAAUGUAAAGGAGGAAGUAGAGAGAUUUUGAAGAAGGGUGGAUGGAGGAAGUACAGAGGAUAGUUGGGCACUGAGAAUCAUUCCCACCUCCAAGUUAAUUGAUUUUUCAUUGUUGUUCUUUAAAAAAUUUUUUUUUUGAAGUUCUGUCAUUAACUGCAAUGUGCACUUUCAACACAAUGUGUCCAAGACUGUUAAUAUUAAAGAGUCAUUUAAUCGGA